Non-coding RNA from Paramuricea clavata, 228 nucleotides. Lineage: Eukaryota; Metazoa; Cnidaria; Anthozoa; Malacalcyonacea; Plexauridae. The record is from the annotation of a GenBank genome assembly.
UGCAUUUUUUGGUAAGACGAUGUUAACAAAAGUUGUUCGUCUUGAUGAGGGCUACAACUUUGCUUAAUAUCCUUUUAACAAAUGAUGCGUAUUUUAAGAAGAUAGCGCAGCGCAUGCGCAGAAGGUAUCUCCUUACGCUUGCAUUUUGUGGUAAGACGAUGUUAACAAAAGUUGUUCGUCUUGAUGAGGGCUACAACUUUGCUUAAUAUCCUUUUAACAAAUUAUGCG